AGCACACCAGGGAUCCACUUUUGAAGAAGAACUGGAGGCCUAUGAAUCUGAGGGAAGAACGAGAAACCUUGAACUCAGGAGCCCACGCCUCAGGCACACGGAAGACAUCUGGAUGCCCAUCACCACCACCACCACCACCACCACCGAGGUCCCUGGGCAAGCAGUUUACCCAGCACUCUCAGGAGCAUGAACUGCAUCCCCACUGCCAGGGUUUUAUCUUCUUUCUUCACACCUCUGCCAGGAAAGACACGGUUGUAUGAGGAUGGACUGAGAGACUCAGCCCCAGCGCCAAGCAGCAGCAGGGUCUCAAUAGGUCUUGUGUGAUGCCUGCAAUUUGAUGGGUAGAGCAGCCAAUGAAGAAGAGCGGCACGCUGAAGAGCAGACACAACAGCGAGCCGAGGAGGCAGAGGGCACUGCACUGCACCGGGCUCAGGUGGAGGCGCUUGACUAAGACACCUCCCAUCAUGAUGCCCACGAUGACCAGAGGGAUAGUGAGGCAGCCAAGGAGCAUGUUGGCAAAGGAGGCUGUGAUGGAAAACUGGCGUUCCAGGAACUUAGGCAGGAAGGUGGCCAUGCCCGCUACCAUGGAUGAGGUGCACACCUGGGACAGGACUACCAGCAAGAAGAUGGGGUGGCGCAGAUUCCGCAGCAGCACCCUAGGGAAGACUGUCGGGACAAGCGGGAAGGAGGUCAGCGUGGGCAGCCAGCCACAGUAUCCACAUCUGUCCAGCCCGCCCCAUCUGUUCCGUUCUCUCUCUUCCAUUCCGUUUAAGUCUAGCGUGUCCCAUGCUAUCACAUUACGUUGGACUCUUUUCCCGUCCUGCUCUAGUUUUGAAAUUCUCCUCACGCCUUUCAGUUCAGAGUUACGUGGGAGUUUAUUAAAUGUGUUUAUUUCUGUUCGGGUCUGUUUGAGUCGA
Molecule: long non-coding RNA, 917 nt
Filed under: Mus musculus (house mouse)
Lineage: Eukaryota; Metazoa; Chordata; Mammalia; Rodentia; Muridae
Description: predicted gene 15635
Source: RNAcentral